UGCCCCCAAAAAAGAGCAUAUAAUUCUAACCUAAUUAAAAAUAAAAGUUUUAAGAAAAUGGAUGGUUUACAUGUUGGAAAAUGUGUCUUAAAGUCAAUCAUCUAAGUUGUAAAUAAUUGAGCUCCUUGUAUGUAUAUGAAUUAUAAAUUGAUAAAAAUUAUUUGGCAAAUUCAUCAUAAGGUGAGCAUCUUCCUUAAUGUACUCCUAUAUUAUGAUGAAGUUCUUAGAACUACCUACUAACAAUAAAGAAGAAUUUAUCAUGUAGUUCUUAAACUAGUUCACGAUCAAAUGAUACGUUAUUACUAGGACGAUAAUAUUUAUUAAGUGUAGGUCGUUGUGUACCAU
RNAcentral lists this long non-coding RNA (345 nucleotides) under Elaeis guineensis (African oil palm). RNAcentral describes it as "long non-coding RNA (EGUI_LNC053071)". The record is from RNAcentral. Lineage: Eukaryota; Viridiplantae; Streptophyta; Magnoliopsida; Arecales; Arecaceae.